CCUACGGGAGGCAGCAGUGGGGAAUAUUGCACAAUGGGCGCAAGCCUGAUGCAGCAACGCCGCGUGAGGGACGACGGCCUUCGGGUUGUAAACCUCUUUUAGUAGGGAAGAAGCGAAAGUGACGGUACCUGCAGAAAAAGCACCGGCUAACUACGUGCCAGCAGCCGCGGUAAUACGUAGGGUGCAAGCGUUAUCCGGAAUUAUUGGGCGUAAAGAGCUCGUAGGCGGUUUGUCGCGUCUGCUGUGAAAACUGGAGGCUCAACCUCCAGCCUGCAGUGGGUACGGGCAGACUAGAGUGCGGUAGGGGAGAUUGGAAUUCCUGGUGUAGCGGUGGAAUGCGCAGAUAUCAGGAGGAACACCGAUGGCGAAGGCAGAUCUCUGGGCCGUAACUGACGCUGAGGAGCGAAAGCAUGGGGAGCGAACAGGAUUAGAUACCCUGGUAGUCCAUGCCGUAAACGUUGGGAACUAGAUGUAGGGACCAUUCCACGGUUUCUGUGUCGCAGCUAACGCAUUAAGUUCCCCGCCUGGGGAGUACGGCCGCAAGGCUAAAACUUAGAAAGUAGUAGACGNGAGAGACGCGACGACGACGACGACGGAGGAGAG
Molecule: ribosomal RNA, 603 nt
Filed under: uncultured bacterium
Lineage: Bacteria
Description: bacterial SSU rRNA
Rfam family: Bacterial small subunit ribosomal RNA
Source: RNAcentral